RNAcentral lists this small RNA (801 nucleotides) under uncultured Chaetomium. Its description in RNAcentral is "eukaryotic LSU rRNA". The stretch from base 542 to 801 matches the Rfam family "Eukaryotic large subunit ribosomal RNA", at positions 1 to 266 of the family's 3401-position model. Lineage: Eukaryota; Fungi; Ascomycota; Sordariomycetes; Sordariales; Chaetomiaceae. The record is from RNAcentral.
GGAAGUAAAAGUCGUAACAAGGUCUCCGUUGGUGAACCAGCGGAGGGAUCAUUACAGAGUUGCAAAACUCCCUAAACCAUUGUGAACGUUACCUAAACCGUUGCUUCGGCGGGCGGCCCCGGGGUUUACCCCCCGGGCGCCCCUGGGCCCCACCGCGGACGCCCGCCGGAGGUCACCAAACUCUUGAUAAUUUAUGGCCUCUCUGAGUCUUCUGUACUGAAUAAGUCAAAACUUUCAACAACGGAUCUCUUGGUUCUGGCAUCGAUGAAGAACGCAGCGAAAUGCGAUAAGUAAUGUGAAUUGCAGAAUUCAGUGAAUCAUCGAAUCUUUGAACGCACAUUGCGCCCGCCAGUAUUCUGGCGGGCAUGCCUGUUCGAGCGUCAUUUCAACCAUCAAGCCCCAGGCUUGUGUUGGGGACCUGCGGCUGCCGCAGGCCCUGAAAAGCAGUGGCGGGCUCGCUGUCACACCGAGCGUAGUAGCAUACAUCUCGCUCUGGGCGUGCUGCGGGUUCCGGCCGUUAAACCACCUUUUAACCCAAGGUUGACCUCGGAUCAGGUAGGAAGACCCGCUGAACUUAAGCAUAUCAAUAAGCGGAGGAAAAGAAACCAACAGGGAUUGCCCUAGUAACGGCGAGUGAAGCGGCAACAGCUCAAAUUUGAAAUCUGGCUUCGGCCCGAGUUGUAAUUUGCAGAGGAAGCUUUAGGCGCGGCACCUUCUGAGUCCCCUGGAACGGGGCGCCAUAGAGGGUGAGAGCCCCGUAUAGUUGGAUGCCUAGCCUGUGUAAAGCUCCUUCGACGAGUC